Molecule: ribosomal RNA, 429 nt
Filed under: Chloroflexota bacterium
Lineage: Bacteria; Bacillati; Chloroflexota
Description: Chloroflexi bacterium partial 16S ribosomal RNA
Rfam family: Bacterial small subunit ribosomal RNA
Source: RNAcentral
UGGGGAAUAUUGCACAAUUGGCGCAAGCCUGAUGCAGCCAUGCCGCGUGUGUGAAGAAGGCCUUCGGGUUGUAAAGCACUUUCAGCGGGGAGGAAGGCGAUAAGGUUAAUAACCUUGUCGAUUGACGUUACCCGCAGAAGAAGCACCGGCUAACUCCGUGCCAGCAGCCGCGGUAAUACGGAGGGUGCAAGCGUUAAUCGGAAUUACUGGGCGUAAAGCGCACGCAGGCGGUCUGUCAAGUCGGAUGUGAAAUCCCCGGGCUCAACCUGGGAACUGCAUUCGAAACUGGGAGGGUAGAGUGUUGUAGAGGGGGGUAGAAUUCCAGGUGUAGCGGUGAAAGGCGUAGAGAUCUGGGGGAAUACCGGUGGCGAAGGCGGCCCCCUGGACAAAGACUGACGCUCAGGUGCGAAAGCGUGGGGAGCAAACAGG